UGUUCAUCUAGGGAAAAAAACUGUCACAAGCAAGAAACAAGAGAAAAUAAUAAGCUAGUGCAAGUUCAAAGGAAUUGUAUUUUGUUUUGUCUACAAAGAAAGAAAUACCAGGAUAUUUUGAGCGAUAUAAUGGAAGAAAGAUGCUGUAAGAGAAUGUAGCAGAGAUUUUUUUCAUCUUAACACCUAGGUAAUAGUUAUCCAGUUUUUAAAGCUGUGUUGUCUUGGAAGUUGCUUUUAGAAUGCUGUUCUUAAUAUACUUGAUCAGAUCCAAAGUCCAGCUUUUGAAUGGAGUGAAAUGAGCCAUAAGGCCAAUCCAAACUAUUUAGGAUAUCAGGACACAACAUGCAUUUUGAUAUAGAAUCUCAAUACUUCAUCACCAUGGUGCUAAAUGACCUAAUAAGCAGAAUUAAAAGGGCCAACACAGCCAUCAACUCAUAUUCCCAUGAGUUCUUGCAGAAAGUAAUAUGCAGUGAUGUUCUCACUAAUUAGCUUUUCUUAAAUUAUAUGUAAUAGGAUGUGUAAACAAACUGGGGAACCCAUUACUAUAAAAUAUUGAUAUGUAGUUUUCUACAUAGAAUUUUAGGAUUAGAGAAGUUGUUAAGAAAUGGAUUCAGUAGGAAAGGUUGGCAGCAAACUGUUUGAGUAGAAAUUACUCCUAUGUAAAUAAUCUCUAGGGUUGCAAUUUAGAUCUCCCCUUGCCCAGAAACUGGAAAUAAACUGGGAGGAAAAGAUUACCAUAUUGUAGUCCUUUUACUGCUACAGUGCCUCUGCAGGUCCCAAACCUGGCCAGAGAGUGGAACAUAGGUCUGACCAAAUUGUCCUAGUGUCCUAUGUAUGUAUGUGUAGAUAUUAUAUAAAGCAGACUGACAAAGCUAGAGCUGCAUAUCUUCCAGACCUUGGAAUAAAAUAAUACAUACCAGAACUAAUAGGGGGCUCAUUUAAAGAACUAUUUUCACUGACAGUUCUGUUUAUUCAUUUUAUGUUUAUUCAGCUUUUUAGAAUUAGAUUGUGUAGUUUUAUGGCUGUUUAAUUUAUUGGGAUUUAUGCAGUCUUUCUUAGAUGUAUUAGCCAUAGCUGUCAAAAGUACUCUUUAAAGGGAAUUCAAGAGCUGAUUCCUAUCAAAGGGACAAUUAACAGCUAUUCAGAAAACUCAAGGUAGACUUUCCAUUCCAUCUCCCACCCAUAGCAAAUGGGAAAUUAAAUAGGCAGGAAUUUCAAGCUAUUAUUUGCUACGAAAUUCUUGUCAAUGAAAAGACUAUCCAGUUCCAGCCUUCUGAACUGGAAGUCGUGUUUACAUUUGGAAAUAUAUAAUGGGGGGAAAUAAAAUGAAUUGUAUUUUGAAA
Elgaria multicarinata webbii is the source of this 1343-nucleotide long non-coding RNA. RefSeq lists it as uncharacterized. The record is from RefSeq and is a predicted model, not a curated record. Lineage: Eukaryota; Metazoa; Chordata; Lepidosauria; Squamata; Anguidae. The transcript is spliced from 2 exons.